AACGAACGCUGGCGGCAUGCCUAACACAUGCAAGUCGAACGAGACCUUCGGGUCUAGUGGCGCACGGGUGCGUAACGCGUGGGAACCUGCCCUUAGGUUCGGAAUAACUCCCCGAAAGGGGUGCUAAUACCGGAUAAUGUCUUCGGACCAAAGAUUUAUCGCCUUUGGAUGGGCUCGCGUUGGAUUAGCUAGUUGGUAGGGUAAAAGCCUACCAAGGCGACGAUCCAUAGCUGGUCUGAGAGGAUGAUCAGCCACACUGGGACUGAGACACGGCCCAGACUCCUACGGGAGGCAGCAGUGGGGAAUAUUGGACAAUGGGCGAAAGCCUGAUGCAGCAAUGCCGCGUGAGUGAUGAAGGCCUUAGGGUUGUAAAGCUCUUUUACCCGGGAUGAUAAUGACAGUACCGGGAGAAUAAGCUCCGGCUAACUCCGUG
This 433-nucleotide ribosomal RNA is filed under the name uncultured bacterium. RNAcentral's name for it is "partial 16S ribosomal RNA". It matches the Rfam family "Bacterial small subunit ribosomal RNA", at positions 29 to 507 of the family's 1533-position model. The record is from RNAcentral.